GUGGGUGGAGUUUAUUAACACAGAGAGUGUCAACAAGACACUGCGUAAAUACUAUUUAUGUCAUCACUGUCUCUCUGAAGACAUCAUGUUUCUCUAUAACUGGAUAAUAAUUCAACUGUAUAUGGGAAGUUCUUUUGGUGACACAAUACAAUCGUGGUUUCCAAAAAAACAUUAUUCUGAGGGUGAAAAUAUGAAUCUGUCCUGUAACUACAGUCUCACUAGUGGCACCAGUGUUACUUUACAGUGGUAUCGCCAGUAUCUUGGAGAAAAACCAGAGUUUUUACUUUUGGUCACUGAAUAUUCAAACAAAUCUGUGCCUGAACUACGUCUAUUUUCAGAAGCUAAAAAAGAAAUCAAACGUGUGGAUCUGAAGAUCUCCUCUGCUGCUGUAUCAGACUCUGCUCUGUAUUACUGUGCCCUGAGGCCCACAGUGACAGGAAACACUACAACACUGUACAAAAACCUGACAUAUAGAACUGCAUCUGUAUUACACAAAACAGCUUCAUCCACUGAAACGAAAUACUAGUCAUUUUAAUUCUGAAGUCAUUCGAGGUCAGAACGGAACAUGAGUCAACAUUGUGAGAGACAUGAAAGUAAAGCCAGCGUUAAAACACCAUAUUGUUAUGAAAUAUCACACUGUCACUGAAUGACGAAACUUACUGAUCAAGUAUAAAAAGCGGCCAAGCCUUUAUUUACUGUAUGUUUUAGUAAAAAAAGUAAUACAGGUUAAUCAGAUGUAUGGUGUAUGUACAGCCUAAGAUUAAUAAUCGUACAUGUAAUAGUAAUGAAGUGAUAUACUGUAGUUUAAUAUACACACAAUAUA
Puntigrus tetrazona (Sumatra barb) is the source of this 823-nucleotide non-coding RNA. The record is from the annotation of a RefSeq genome assembly. NCBI's taxonomy places the organism in Eukaryota, Metazoa, Chordata, Actinopteri, Cypriniformes, Cyprinidae.